This is an RNA transcript of Carlito syrichta (Philippine tarsier), 660 nucleotides long. It is a transcript of the gene named 40S ribosomal protein S25 pseudogene, with no coding region annotated. The record is from RefSeq and is a predicted model, not a curated record. NCBI's taxonomy places the organism in Eukaryota, Metazoa, Chordata, Mammalia, Primates, Tarsiidae. The transcript is spliced from 2 exons.
AUGUGGAUCUCCUCCGGCCGGGUUGUGAUGAGCUACCCGUGCCAGAGGCCGCGGCAGGCGCGGCGGCGGCGACGGCGGCGGCGGCGGCGGGAGCGCUGGUGGGGGGAGGGGCUGCGGCAGCAGCGGGAGAGGACGAUGCAAAAGGAAUCGGCUUCCUUUUUGUCCGACAUCUUAGCGAGGCAGCAGUGGUGUCUGCUGCUCUCCGAGCUUCGCAAUGCCGCCCAGGAUGACAAGAAGAAGAAAGAUGCCAGAAAGUCGGCCAAGAAAGACAAAGACCCAGUGAACAAAUCUGGGGCAAGGCUAAAAAGAAGAAGUGGUCUAAAGGCAAAGUUCGGGACAAGCUUAAUAACCUAGUCUUGUUUGACAAAGCCACGUAUGACAAACUCUGCAAGGAAGUUCCCAAUUACAAGCUUAUAACUCCAGCAGUGGUCUCUGAGAGACUGAAGAUUCUUGGUUCUCUGGCCAGGGCAGCCCUUCAGGAGCUCCUUAGUAAAGGUCUUAUCAAACUGGUUUCAAAGCACAGAGCUCAAGUAAUUUACACUAGAAAUACCAAGGGUGGAGAUGCCCCAGCUGCUGGUGAAAAUGCAUGAACAGGUCCAACCAACUGUACAUUUGGAAAAAUAAAACUUUAUUAAGUAAAACAAAAAAAAAAAAAAGAAA